This is a long non-coding RNA of Lemur catta (Ring-tailed lemur), 2305 nucleotides long. RefSeq lists it as uncharacterized. The record is from RefSeq and is a predicted model, not a curated record. Lineage: Eukaryota; Metazoa; Chordata; Mammalia; Primates; Lemuridae. The transcript is spliced from 2 exons.
UCGGCGAAGGCCACCACGGAGGCAUAUUAGCGUCUGGGGUUGCGGUUGGAGGAAGUUUCCGGGGUUGUGGGGAGGAACAUACGUGUACGCGCUGUAUGUCUGUGCCACCAUGGAGCAGGGCGUGGGUGGCGAGCGUAUCUGUCCCCGAGGCAUGUAGGCGUGGGCAUCUGCACGGUGAGUCUGGGAGGAGGUGGUCUCUGGCGGUGGAGGAAGUGUCUGUCUGUCUGUCUGUCUGGGUUGGGGGCUGUGCCUGCCAGCAGCCUUUGCCUCCGGCCCUGCGGGCUGUGCAAGCGCAGGUCUGCGUCCGAGGCCAGCUUACACCCUCCAUCCAUCUCCCUCCACGGGGCCACAGAGAAACCCAAGUGAGCGAGCACGGGUGGCUGCGGUUGGGGGUGGUGUCACAUCCCAGGGGUCCCUAGGGGACAGAGAAGCUCAUCCACUUCCUCAGGGCCUGGCAGCCCCUGCCCUCCUCCCUCACGGUGGCCCACCCGCCACACGCAGCCCCGCCGGAGAGGAGGGGCGCCAGGAGCACGGGCUCCCGCCACAGCCAGGCAGGGGGCAGCCGCAGCGCACCCUAGAGAAGGUGCCUCUGUCCCCACGUAGAAGCGCCUCCCACCGACAGCCCCGGCGGGACUGCGAACCCCAGAAGGGACGGCCUCCCUCCUCUUUAUCCUCCAGCCUCGGUCUCCCCAGGUGUCAGAGGAGGACAAUGGUCUCUACAGAGGGGCCACUGCAUCAGCCUCCCCAAGGCAGUCCCCCACCCCCUGCCUAGAGCCCCUCAAGGAGAUGAGAACCUGUAAUCCAGCCCCGGAGGUGGCAGCUGGCAGGGUGAUGGGACCGUCCCUCAGCAUGGGCAGCAGAAGAGGGCUCAGUUGGGGGAGUCUAGCCUCCCAAACAUGGCUGCUUCUCCUGGGAUUACCCCUGUGAUUAGGGGUCCCUGGGGGCAAACCCCCCCAUGUGAUCAGGCUCCCGGGUGCCUGCAUUGCCAGGAGGGAGGCAGCUCCAGGGUCAAUUCUGAAUUCUGGGGGGUAGUUCUGGUCCCAGGAGGUACUGCCUUCCUCCAGCACUGCCCAUCUAUAAAGGGCAUUUGUGCCCAGGCAACACCCGCCCACCUGGGGCUGGGGGGCCGGGCUGCUGCGAACACAGUGUGGCAGUGAAAGUGGGACAAACGCGCCUGUGUGCACCCUGGCUGAGGUGCCGGAGGAAGCGCGGUUGGGGCCGAAGUGUUAAUGGGCCUCCUUCCUGCCCUGCCGUGCCAGCUCCGCAGUGCUCAUCCCUUCUCCCCUGAAAUGCUCGCUUCCUCUCGGUCCCAGCACACUCCCUCCACGUCCCUGGCCACAGAUCUGUCCUGCUUUGACAAACAUCCCGCUCAGCCUUCGGGUUUAUGGCUUUUCCGUGUGCCUUCCUUCAUGUGGUUGGGAACCAACGCUCUGGUCCUGGGAGCGGAGGCUGGGCCUGGGGUGGAGCAGGCUGGGGCUGGGAAUGGGGGCUGGGCCUGCGGGGCUCCCCAAGCAACAGGGAGAGGAGACUGGAAUCCUGCUGUCCCGGAAACAAGGCCCCACCAGGGAACAACACAGGAGGGACACCCUUGGUGUGGCUGGCUCCCUGUGCUGAUGGGGACAGGCCAGGGAAGGGGUCCACAGGGACCGGCUGCACGAGCCAGGAGGGCUCCUCGGAAAAGACUGCGCUUGAAGGAUGGAGAAGGCAAAGGAGACUAUUCCAGAAGGGGACAGUGCCGGCCCACAUGAUGGCAAGAGCAACUGCAAGGAGGGAAGCCAGGGUACUCACGGGUUUGUUUUUAUUCUUGUUUUAUUAAGCAACAACUGUGUCCUGGGCUAAGCAAGUCUCAUGAAUUCAUUAUCUCAUUAAUUUUCACAAAACUCACAAGUACCAUCGACCCCAUUUUACAGGUGACAUUACUGGGGCCCAGAGAGGUAAAGUGUCGUGGUGGGGUCACAGGGGUGGUUGAUGGCCGGGCAAGGAUGGAUGCCCAACAGGCAGCCGAGGCAGUGCCCAAGUGCAUGCUUAGCAGUCAGUCACUGUUGGGCUUUUGUAUUGGGGCUUUUUACUGCCCACUCAGUGUCCCCGAGUCCCUGGAUCAGCCCCCAGAAGGCUGCCAAUUCUGAUCCAGGAAUUCGAGGGCUGUCUGUGCCCUCAGAGACUCUGGGGCACACUGGGAGCCUCCAGCCACUUCAGAAUCAGCAUCGUGUACAAGCUGAUGUGUCCCAACGUUAGAGGACAAUUUUUUAAAUGUAUUAAUACUUAGAGGUUGUUAAAUAAAAGACACAUUCAUUUACAAGCAUUA